This is a long non-coding RNA of Echinops telfairi (small Madagascar hedgehog), 757 nucleotides long. RefSeq lists it as uncharacterized. The transcript has 3 exons. NCBI's taxonomy places the organism in Eukaryota, Metazoa, Chordata, Mammalia, Afrosoricida, Tenrecidae. The record is from RefSeq and is a predicted model, not a curated record.
CUGGCGCAGUUCAAUAAGCUCGUCUAGUCUGGAUUCGUGUUCUCUCUCUCUCUCUCUCUCUCUCUCUCUCUCUUAACUGACAAACUCAUUUCUCUACCGGGACAGAAUGCUGUGCUCGCUGGAAGUUCCAUUUCUACAGCAAGAAUCCUAUCUGGAAACAGAAGUUGUCCUCUAGCUACAGCAGCUUGAACUUUUUUGACUGUUGCUGCUUUAUCUCACCACCCCCAUUCCCUUUUGACAAAGAUCCAACUGUAAAAAGUCUUACGUAACAGUUCAGGACUACUUCGGUUCUUUUCUUGGGUGCCAAGUAUAAUCCAGAAGACAAAGGUAGACUGUGAAAACAUUUGCAUCCCCAAAUUGAAGCGACAUAAAUUUCAAUAUUUUGUGAGACUUCUGGAAAAGAAAAGGAGCAAAGAUUUCUUCUAGGAACUACCUAUCUUUGACCGAAAAGCAGAAGAAUAAUCCAGUGGAAAAGGAAGGAAAACUCCACUACUUUUAUAAAGAAAGAGCUCUAUGGAAACGAACCACAGCUGUGGGGAUGACAGACAGAAAUGGGCUGCAGGUCCAAUGGUGGAGAUGGUCACUUUGGAGGGCAGAAAUAUCCUCCUCUGAAAAUGAAGCUGACCAAGGAAAUUCCAGUCCACUCUUGUUCCUCUCGCAGGCUGCACCUCAAAAGGAUUCAGCAGGGCAUUUGUAAUCCUAUAUCCUGAGCACAGGACCUGGCAUAAAGCAGAAACUCAGUAAAUGUUUGUCAAAU